RNAcentral lists this ribosomal RNA (1509 nucleotides) under Helicobacter pylori. Its description in RNAcentral is "bacterial SSU rRNA". It matches the Rfam family "Bacterial small subunit ribosomal RNA". The record is from RNAcentral. Lineage: Bacteria; Pseudomonadati; Campylobacterota; Epsilonproteobacteria; Campylobacterales; Helicobacteraceae.
UUUAUGGAGAGUUUGAUCCUGGCUCAGAGUGAACGCUGGCGGCGUGCCUAAUACAUGCAAGUCGAACGAUGAAGCUUCUAGCUUGCUAGAGUGCUGAUUAGUGGCGCACGGGUGAGUAACGCAUAGGUUAUGUGCCUCUUAGUUUGGGAUAGCCAUUGGAAACGAUGAUUAAUACCAGAUACUCCCUACGGGGGAAAGAUUUAUCGCUAAGAGAUCAGCCUAUGUCCUAUCAGCUUGUUGGUAAGGUAAUGGCUUACCAAGGCUAUGACGGGUAUCCGGCCUGAGAGGGUGAACGGACACACUGGAACUGAGACACGGUCCAGACUCCUACGGGAGGCAGCAGUAGGGAAUAUUGCUCAAUGGGGGAAACCCUGAAGCAGCAACGCCGCGUGGAGGAUGAAGGUUUUAGGAUUGUAAACUCCUUUUGUUAGAGAAGAUAAUGACGGUAUCUAACGAAUAAGCACCGGCUAACUCCGUGCCAGCAGCCGCGGUAAUACGGAGGGUGCAAGCGUUACUCGGAAUCACUGGGCGUAAAGAGCGCGUAGGCGGGAUAGUCAGUCAGGUGUGAAAUCCUAUGGCUUAACCAUAGAACUGCAUUUGAAACUACUAUUCUAGAGUGUGGGAGAGGUAGGUGGAAUUCUUGGUGUAGGGGUAAAAUCCGUAGAGAUCAAGAGGAAUACUCAUUGCGAAGGCGACCUGCUGGAACAUUACUGACGCUGAUUGCGCGAAAGCGUGGGGAGCAAACAGGAUUAGAUACCCUGGUAGUCCACGCCCUAAACGAUGGAUGCUAGUUGUUGGAGGGCUUAGUCUCUCCAGUAAUGCAGCUAACGCAUUAAGCAUCCCGCCUGGGGAGUACGGUCGCAAGAUUAAAACUCAAAGGAAUAGACGGGGACCCGCACAAGCGGUGGAGCAUGUGGUUUAAUUCGAAGAUACACGAAGAACCUUACCUAGGCUUGACAUUGAGAGAAUCCGCUAGAAAUAGUGGAGUGUCUAGCUUGCUAGACCUUGAAAACAGGUGCUGCACGGCUGUCGUCAGCUCGUGUCGUGAGAUGUUGGGUUAAGUCCCGCAACGAGCGCAACCCCCUUUCUUAGUUGCUAACAGGUCAUGCUGAGAACUCUAAGGAUACUGCCUCCGUAAGGAGGAGGAAGGUGGGGACGACGUCAAGUCAUCAUGGCCCUUACGCCUAGGGCUACACACGUGCUACAAUGGGGUGCACAAAGAGAAGCAAUACUGCGAAGUGGAGCCAAUCUUCAAAACGCCUCUCAGUUCGGAUUGUAGGCUGCAACUCGCCUGCAUGAAGCUGGAAUCGCUAGUAAUCGCAAAUCAGCCAUGUUGCGGUGAAUACGUUCCCGGGUCUUGUACUCACCGCCCGUCACACCAUGGGAGUUGUGUUUGCCUUAAGUCAGGAUGCUAAACUAGCUACUGCCCACGGCACACACAGCGACUGGGGUGAAGUCGUAACAAGGUAACCGUAGGUGAACCUGCGGUUGGAUCACCUCCUUUCUAGA